AUAAGGAGCUCAUUCACCUUCUGAGUUUUGUAGUGCUAACAUCUAAAAUUGAACGAAAUUCGUUGUGCUUCAAAAUUUGAAAUGUAAAAAUGGACAUCGAUUUGCAAUCAGUUGCGGGCCCUUUGAUCAGAUUUGGUUAUACAAAAGUGUCGGUAGAAGGAGAAGUACCAGAGUUGAAAGUUUUGGACAUGUAGUUUGUUUUUUCUUUUUGUUGUUUUAUUUGGUUACCAAGAACACGUGAUAAAACACGUAAACACAAACACGAAAGACACAGUCAAAGAGAUUUUUUGCUGGCCUUGCAAGUUUUAACGUUGCUGGAAACAAUUUAUUGAAAAUGCAAAUGGGAUUUACUUUUAACAACGCCAAGUUGGCCCAUUGCAAGAUGGGCCUUAUUGGCAUUGGCCUCAAAUGGCAUAUGCAAGAAGAUUGCCCCCAUAAAUAAUAAUGGCAACAUUGAUUGGAUGUGGAGCAAGGUCCGAGGAAGACGGGUUCCUUGUGUUUGCUCCGCUAGUUAACAUACAAAUUUGAAAUCAAACAAAAGCCGAAAGAAGACAACACACACGCAAUAUGAAACCCAGUUGGAGCUUAGCCUCAAAUUGCUCUUCUGCAUGAUUCUUUAUAUAUUUAAUGUUGAUUCAGAUUAGAGGCCAGGAGGCUGCCGAUAUAUAUACAUUCAUAUACAUAUAUAUACAUUUAAUAAUUUUUUAUACAACGCUGACCCAAAAGUAGUGGAUUAACUUUCAAAUGUCGUUUCAUACACAAGAAACUGAAGCAUGGUCCGAGCCUCAACUUGUGUGUGCUUCGUUUCCAAUUAGAAUGCAAAAAACACACAGGAUUUUAAACAAAUGCUUAAAUCGAAUUGUUGCGAUAGAUGAUAUUCCGAUCAAUAUAUACAUAUAUACAAUUCCAAUUGACAAAGCAGGGGAGCAAGGUCCGAGGAGAAGAUCCCUUGUGUUUGCUCUCGGUUAUAUAUAUAUAUAUACAUAUAUAUAUAUAACCGUUACAGAUAUUAUAUAUAUAUAUAACACAUCACGUUGUUCUUCAUUGGUUACAACAAUAGCAACAGACUCUCUGCAACUUGUACAUAAAUAAAUAAUCGAACGAGAGAACGAUAACAAACAGCAACAAUUGUAUAAAGAACUAGGAAGCCAGGAAAUACACACAAUACACGCACAACACACAACACUCCACACACACACACACACACACAUUAGAAACAACCCCAACCCCACCCACCCCUCCCCCCAAAGAAUCACAAGAUCAGUCCCCUACCCCCCUUUAAAAAUCGAACGCGAUGGGAAUACUUGUUGAUAUUGGGAACAAUGGACACGAGAUUCUCUAUUUUCAGAAUUUUUAUAUAAAAUUUUAUAUAAUAUAUCGUUAGUUGGGGGCAGAGAUGUCUCUGCAACUGAUGCGCACAGUUGGCGCCUAUUAUAAAUAUUUAUAAUAAUUUUUCACUUGACGUCGUCGCAGCAACUGCAGCACAAAGCUCUACUCAGGCCUGUAGAUUCGACUGCCACCAGUAGUUCGUCUUCCAGCGCCAAAUUUAUAUAUUUGCUAUAAAUAUUUAAAAUAAAUGAAAAAAACCACAUGAGCUUA
This is a long non-coding RNA of Drosophila montana, 1599 nucleotides long. RefSeq lists it as uncharacterized. NCBI's taxonomy places the organism in Eukaryota, Metazoa, Arthropoda, Insecta, Diptera, Drosophilidae. The transcript has 5 exons. The record is from RefSeq and is a predicted model, not a curated record.